Molecule: long non-coding RNA, 874 nt
Filed under: Salvia miltiorrhiza (redroot sage)
Lineage: Eukaryota; Viridiplantae; Streptophyta; Magnoliopsida; Lamiales; Lamiaceae
Description: long non-coding RNA (SMIL_LNC004741)
Source: RNAcentral
GGCGAUGUACCUCUUCCUCAUCUAAGUACUGGAAGCGUCGAAAAUUUUGAGAACAUAAUUGAAAAUUGGCGCCAUCUCUCCCGCAAAUUUUUUAGAUAGAUCGAUUUGUUUCCUAAUUUUCAGAAACCAUCAGCCAUACACAAAGCAAUUUCCUAAACCUAAAAUCCCAUGGAGGAAGAUGCGGCACCCAUCUGAUCUGAUCACAAAAUAAGGGAUAAAGAUGGUGGCCGGAAUGAGAAGAGGCCACCUUAGAUGGUCUGAGUUGUAAAGUCGUCGAGCUCUGAAUCACUUGCCACCACCUCACGCCGUCGUGCUUCAGUAUGUCCAUUAUUGUUGUAUGUGGAACCCAAUUAAUGUGGUUAUGGUAUUUGAUACAAAAAGGUGAUGUUUAUCCCAUUGUUGUAAUCCACUAAUUUCUUCUCAUCUUCAUACGCUUGUAAAAAUCAACACCUUGCUUCUGAUUCUUAAGCUAUUGCUGCAGCUUUCUCUUUCGAUCAAAAGCAGUAUGAGAUCGUAUUUGUAACCCACUCCGCGUACACUUAAUUGUUUAUGAUUUUGAAGUUCUGACCUUGCUCCCCUGCCCAUCCCCUCGUUUCACCAAUCAUGGUAACUUCUCCUCUCUAACUGUUUACUGGUUACUCUAACAUAGGAAUAUGUAUGUUUGGUUAUGCCCCUCUUCUUCUUAAAUUUUUUAUUUUAUUUUGAUGGUUUAGUUUUCUUCAAGUUGUGUUGUGCUCAAUUAUUAUGGAUAUUAGUGAAGAUGAUGAAUCUUGGAUCUUGAAAUUUUUUGUUGUGUCAUGCUUGUAACUCAAGGGAACACUGGAAGAGAUAUUGUAUGAUAGUUCUCCAAGGCCUGCUUUUGAGAGUAGUAUUG